GGUUAAGCGACUAAGCGUACACGGUGGAUGCCCUGGCAGUCAGAGGCGAUGAAGGACGUGCUAAUCUGCGAUAAGCGUCGGUAAGGUGAUAUGAACCGUUAUAACCGGCGAUUUCCGAAUGGGGAAACCCAGUGUGAUUCGUCACACUAUCAUUAACUGAAUCCAUAGGUUAAUGAGGCGAACCGGGGGAACUGAAACAUCUAAGUACCCCGAGGAAAAGAAAUCAACCGAGAUUCCCCCAGUAGCGGCGAGCGAACGGGGAGCAGCCCAGAGCCUGAAUCAGUGUGUGUGUUAGUGGAAGCGUCUGGAAAGGCGCGCGAUACAGGGUGACAGCCCCGUACACAAAAAUGCACAUGCUGUGAGCUCGAUGAGUAGGGCGGGACACGUGGUAUCCUGUCUGAAUAUGGGGGGACCAUCCUCCAAGGCUAAAUACUCCUGACUGACCGAUAGUGAACCAGUACCGUGAGGGAAAGGCGAAAAGAACCCCGGCGAGGGGAGUGAAAAAGAACCUGAAACCGUGUACGUACAAGCAGUGGGAGCACGCUUAGGCGUGUGACUGCGUACCUUUUGUAUAAUGGGUCAGCGACUUAUAUUCUGUAGCAAGGUUAACCGAAUAGGGGAGCCGAAGGGAAACCGAGUCUUAACUGGGCGUUAAGUUGCAGGGUAUAGACCCGAAACCCGGUGAUCUAGCCAUGGGCAGGUUGAAGGUUGGGUAACACUAACUGGAGGACCGAACCGACUAAUGUUGAAAAAUUAGCGGAUGACUUGUGGCUGGGGGUGAAAGGCCAAUCAAACCGGGAGAUAGCUGGUUCUCCCCGAAAGCUAUUUAGGUAGCGCCUCGUGAAUUCAUCUCCGGGGGUAGAGCACUGUUUCGGCAAGGGGGUCAUCCCGACUUACCAACCCGAUGCAAACUGCGAAUACCGGAGAAUGUUAUCACGGGAGACACACGGCGGGUGCUAACGUCCGUCGUGAAGAGGGAAACAACCCAGACCGCCAGCUAAGGUCCCAAAGUCAUGGUUAAGUGGGAAACGAUGUGGGAAGGCCCAGACAGCCAGGAUGUUGGCUUAGAAGCAGCCAUCAUUUAAAGAAAGCGUAAUAGCUCACUGGUCGAGUCGGCCUGCGCGGAAGAUGUAACGGGGCUAAACCAUGCACCGAAGCUGCGGCAGCGACGCUGAUGCGUUGUUGGGUAGGGGAGCGUUCUGUAAGCCUGUGAAGGUGUACUGUGAGGUAUGCUGGAGGUAUCAGAAGUGCGAAUGCUGACAUAAGUAACGAUAAAGCGGGUGAAAAGCCCGCUCGCCGGAAGACCAAGGGUUCCUGUCCAACGUUAAUCGGGGCAGGGUGAGUCGACCCCUAAGGCGAGGCCGAAAGGCGUAGUCGAUGGGAAACAGGUUAAUAUUCCUGUACUUGGUGUUACUGCGAAGGGGGGACGGAGAAGGCUAUGUUGGCCGGGCGACGGUUGUCCCGGUUUAAGCGUGUAGGCUGGUUUUCCAGGCAAAUCCGGAAAAUCAAGGCUGAGGCGUGAUGACGAGGCACUACGGUGCUGAAGCAACAAAUGCCCUGCUUCCAGGAAAAGCCUCUAAGCAUCAGGUAACAUCAAAUCGUACCCCAAACCGACACAGGUGGUCAGGUAGAGAAUACCAAGGCGCUUGAGAGAACUCGGGUGAAGGAACUAGGCAAAAUGGUGCCGUAACUUCGGGAGAAGGCACGCUGAUAUGUAGGUGAAGUCCCUCGCGGAUGGAGCUGAAAUCAGUCGAAGAUACCAGCUGGCUGCAACUGUUUAUUAAAAACACAGCACUGUGCAAACACGAAAGUGGACGUAUACGGUGUGACGCCUGCCCGGUGCCGGAAGGUUAAUUGAUGGGGUUAGCGCAAGCGAAGCUCUUGAUCGAAGCCCCGGUAAACGGCGGCCGUAACUAUAACGGUCCUAAGGUAGCGAAAUUCCUUGUCGGGUAAGUUCCGACCUGCACGAAUGGCGUAAUGAUGGCCAGGCUGUCUCCACCCGAGACUCAGUGAAAUUGAACUCGCUGUGAAGAUGCAGUGUACCCGCGGCAAGACGGAAAGACCCCGUGAACCUUUACUAUAGCUUGACACUGAACAUUGAGCCUUGAUGUGUAGGAUAGGUGGGAGGCUUUGAAGUGUGGACGCCAGUCUGCAUGGAGCCGACCUUGAAAUACCACCCUUUAAUGUUUGAUGUUCUAACGUUGACCCGUAAUCCGGGUUGCGGACAGUGUCUGGUGGGUAGUUUGACUGGGGCGGUCUCCUCCUAAAGAGUAACGGAGGAGCACGAAGGUUGGCUAAUCCUGGUCGGACAUCAGGAGGUUAGUGCAAUGGCAUAAGCCAGCUUGACUGCGAGCGUGACGGCGCGAGCAGGUGCGAAAGCAGGUCAUAGUGAUCCGGUGGUUCUGAAUGGAAGGGCCAUCGCUCAACGGAUAAAAGGUACUCCGGGGAUAACAGGCUGAUACCGCCCAAGAGUUCAUAUCGACGGCGGUGUUUGGCACCUCGAUGUCGGCUCAUCACAUCCUGGGGCUGAAGUAGGUCCCAAGGGUAUGGCUGUUCGCCAUUUAAAGUGGUACGCGAGCUGGGUUUAGAACGUCGUGAGACAGUUCGGUCCCUAUCUGCCGUGGGCGCUGGAGAACUGAGGGGGGCUGCUCCUAGUACGAGAGGACCGGAGUGGACGCAUCACUGGUGUUCGGGUUGUCAUGCCAAUGGCACUGCCCGGUAGCUAAAUGCGGAAGAGAUAAGUGCUGAAAGCAUCUAAGCACGAAACUUGCCCCGAGAUGAGUUCUCCCUGACUCCUUGAGAGUCCUGAAGGAACGUUGAAGACGACGACGUUGAUAGGCCGGGUGUGUAAGCGCAGCGAUGCGUUGAGCUAACCGGUACUAAUGAACCGUGAGGCUUAACCUU
Molecule: ribosomal RNA, 2904 nt
Filed under: Escherichia coli
Lineage: Bacteria; Pseudomonadati; Pseudomonadota; Gammaproteobacteria; Enterobacterales; Enterobacteriaceae
Also listed under: 1 other name
Description: 23S ribosomal RNA
Rfam family: Bacterial large subunit ribosomal RNA
Source: RNAcentral